CCCUAUAGAUCUUUAUAAUUUGUUUGUUAUAGUUAUAUAGAUUAUUUAAAUUAUGAUUUUAUAAGUUAUUUUGUUGGGGUGACAUUAAAAUUUAAUGAACUUUUAAUAAAUUUUUACAUUAAUUUAUGAAUAAUUGAUCCAUUAUUAGUGAUUAUAAAAUUAAGUUACCUUAGGGAUAACAGCGUAAUUUUUUUGAAGAGUUCAUAUCGAUAAAAAAGAUUGCGACCUCGAUGUUGGAUUAAGAUAUAAUUUUGGUGCAGCAAUUC
Molecule: ribosomal RNA, 266 nt
Filed under: Ectinorhynchus terminalis
Lineage: Eukaryota; Metazoa; Arthropoda; Insecta; Diptera; Therevidae
Description: partial 16S ribosomal RNA
Source: RNAcentral